ACACACGGACCGGGACAGACGGACCGGGACAGACAGAGGGGAAGAGCGGCGGCCCCGGCCCUUCCGCCGGCGGCAGGAAGCAGGAAAGGAGCGGGCAGGGGCCGCGGGGAGCCCGGGCCGGUGGGAAGCUCGGUCUCUGCUCUUCUUCUGCUCUGUGGAGAUGGUGGUGCUGCGGGCUGGGCUCUGCCCUGGCCUCACUGAAGACAUGAUCCAGCUUCUCAGGACCAAUGGCAUCAGGACGGUGGUGGACUUUGUGUCUUCAGACCUGGAGGACGUUGCCCAAAAGUGUUCCCUGUCUUACAAGGCGCUGGUGGCAGUCAGACGUGUGCUCCUGGCCCAGUUCUCUACCUUCCCUGCCAACGGAGCAGACCUCUACGAGGAGCUCAAGAGCUCCACUGCCAUCCUGCCCACUGGCAGCCCAAGCCUGGACCAGCUGCUGGACUCGGGGCUGUACACGGGGGAGGUGACAGAGCUCAUGGGAGCACCGGGCACUGGGAAGACACAGGUGUGCCUGGGCAUUGCAGCCAGUGUGUCCCUGGGCCUCAAGCAGCACGUGCUGUUUCUCGACUCCACGGGGGGUUUCACUGCCUCCCGUCUCUGCCAGAUGCUCCAAGCCCAGACUGAGGAUGAGGAAGAGCAGCUGGAGGCCCUGCAGCGCAUCCAGGUUGUCCGUGUGUUCAACAUCUAUGAGCUGCUGAGCGCCCUGCAGGAGCUGCGGGAUCGCCUCUCCCAGCAGGUGGUGAGCUCCAUGGGACCUCUCAAGAUGGUGCUGCUGGACUCAGUGUCGGCUGUGAUUUCCCCUCUGCUGGGUGGCAGGCAGUCAGAGGGUUUGGCCCUCAUGAUGCAGCUCUCCAAGGAGCUCAAGACCCUGGCCAGGGAGUUCAGCCUUGCUGUUGUGGUGACCAACCAGGUGACAAGGGACAGCAGCACUGGCCUGCUGAAGCCAGCCCUCGGCCGCUCCUGGAGUUUCGUGCCCAGCACCCGGGUGCUGCUGGAGAGCAAAGAAGCCUCGUGGGACAAAGCCAGCACACGGCGUGCUGCUUCCCUGGCAAAGUCACCCCGGCAGCCGACAGGGAUCCAGGUGGAGCUGGACAUUGGAAAUGGUGAUGUGCUGGAACCGAGCCUGGUGACGCCCACACAGGGACUCUGAUGGGAUGGAAAAACAAAUGUCACAAGGUUCAAGGGAGCUGCACAAAAGCAGGCAAGCACUGAAGGUUUUACAAAUUGGCUGAGAGUCCUGCAGCCCUGGGAAGGACCAAUGUGAAAAAUCUCUUGUUCUUCUUCCCCAUGGAAAAACAGUGUGGGGCUCCCUGCAGAACUGUGUGCCCAGCAGAUGCUGCCUGCAGCAGCUGGGCUGUGAGGGCAGCAGGACUGCCAGGUCCUGCCCUCUGCUGCAGGCUUGUCUUCACCCCCCAGAGCCAGCCCUGUCCUCAGGUGUUGUUUGGGAUCAGCUUUGUCCUUGUCCCUGCACAACCCCACAGCUCCCCGUGCUGGUUUUGUUCCCCCCGUGGCUCACUGGCUCCUGGAGUUCUGAACAUCCUCAGGCCCACAGUGGGCUUGGUUCAGAAAUAAAAGGAAAAAAGCUGUUGCUGUGGUUGUUGAGAGCUGGAAUUCAAUUAAUGAUAGCUGCUCUGAACUUAAUUAAAAUGUUGAGCAGGGCUAUGCUGGGACAGGCUGCUGAUGAGCAGGAACAUAAUGAGAUGCUUGAUCUUCCCUUCUCCCCAGAGUAACACCAGGCCCUGUGGGGACCUGCUGGUGUUUUUGGGGCACAGCUGGAUUGUGUAAAGGCUUGCUGAUAACUGAUGGAGGUUCUGAUCUGGAUCAGCUGAGGCAGAUGGGUCCUGGCUGGCACCAGCUGGCCCUGCUUGAUGCUCAAGGACCUAUUCAAUUGCAUGUGGUGAUGUUUAAAAUAAUCUUGCUGUGCUCCAGCGCUUUCCAGCUGCUCCUGCCUGCUCUUGGCAACCUCCUGAGGAGAGGGGAGGCUCGGAUGUGGAGUUUGCUCUUGAUCCCAGAUGUCUCAGAUAUUCUCAGUUUGAGAGACCUCCUUGGCAGCUCAGGAGGUGAGGUCUGGCUUCAGGGAUUGCAGCCUGCUUGGUUGGGGUGAGGAGGAAGAGGAUGGUUUUCCCAUCUGCUGGAGACCUGUGCUGACGUGGCUGGAACGUACAAGCAGAAAUUUACCUUAUUAGCUAAUUUCUUGUUAGUUAAUUCCUUGCUAGCUCCACUCUUGGAGCUGUGAAUAAAGGGGUGGUACACGCACAUUUCAAUUUCUAA
Prinia subflava (tawny-flanked prinia) is the source of this 2271-nucleotide RNA transcript. It is a transcript of the gene named RAD51 paralog D, with no coding region annotated. The record is from RefSeq and is a predicted model, not a curated record. The transcript is spliced from 12 exons. Lineage: Eukaryota; Metazoa; Chordata; Aves; Passeriformes; Cisticolidae.